GCGGCAGACGGGUGAGUAACGCGUGGGGAUGUGCCCAGAGGUGGGGAAUAACUCAGGGAAACUUGAGCUAAUACCGCAUGAGCCCUUCGGGGGAAAGAUUUAUCGCCUUUGGAUCAACCCGCGUCAGAUUAGCUAGUUGGUAGGGUAAUGGCCUACCAAGGCGACGAUCUGUAGCUGGUCUGAGAGGAUGACCAGCCACACUGGGACUGAGACACGGCCCAGACUCCUACGGGAGGCAGCAGUGGGGAAUAUUGGACAAUGGGCGCAAGCCUGAUCCAGCCAUGCCGCGUGAGUGAUGACGGCCUUAGGGUUGUAAAGCUCUUUUAACAGGGACGAUAAUGACGGUACCUGUAGAAUAAGCCCCGGCAAACUUCGUGCCAGCAGCCGCGGUA
Molecule: ribosomal RNA, 392 nt
Filed under: alpha proteobacterium 6F1
Lineage: Bacteria; Pseudomonadati; Pseudomonadota; Alphaproteobacteria
Description: bacterial SSU rRNA
Rfam family: Bacterial small subunit ribosomal RNA
Source: RNAcentral